This is a long non-coding RNA of Orcinus orca (killer whale), 192 nucleotides long. RefSeq lists it as uncharacterized. The record is from RefSeq and is a predicted model, not a curated record. NCBI's taxonomy places the organism in Eukaryota, Metazoa, Chordata, Mammalia, Artiodactyla, Delphinidae. The transcript is spliced from 3 exons.
GACCCAUCAGAUCCUUUACAGCUGGUUUCAAGAUGGCAGCGUGGAUGGAGGCGAGACCGUGGAGCCAGUCUGGACAGCGUUUACCACGGAUUUGUUGAUCAUCUCUGGCAGGGGUGCAGUGGGACUUGACAAGGAGACGUUGGUGGAUCACAUGCUCCCCAACAUACUUUGUCACGGCUACUUAGAAUCAAC